AGUGAACGCUGGCGGUAGGCCUAACACAUGCAAGUCGAACGGCAGCACAGUAAGAGCUUGCUCUUACGGGUGGCGAGUGGCGGACGGGUGAGGAAUACAUCGGAAUCUACUUUUUCGUGGGGGAUAACGUAGGGAAACUUACGCUAAUACCGCAUACGACCUACGGGUGAAAGCAGGGGAUCUUCGGACCUUGCGCGAUUGAAUGAGCCGAUGUCGGAUUAGCGAGUUGGCGGGGUAAAGGCCCACCAAGGCGACGAUCCGUAGCUGGUCUGAGAGGAUGAUCAGCCACACUGGAACUGAGACACGGUCCAGACUCUUACGGGAGGCAGCAGUGGGGAAUAUUGGACAAUGGGCGGAAGCCUGAUCCAGCCAUACCGCGUGGGUGAAGAAGGCCUUCGGGUUGUAAAGCCCUUUUGUUGGGAAAGAAAAGCAGCAGGUUAAUACCCCGCUGUUCUGACGGUACCCAAAGAAUAAGCACCGGCUAACUUCGUG
Molecule: ribosomal RNA, 492 nt
Filed under: uncultured bacterium
Lineage: Bacteria
Description: partial 16S ribosomal RNA
Rfam family: Bacterial small subunit ribosomal RNA
Source: RNAcentral